This 193-nucleotide ribosomal RNA is filed under the name uncultured Lactobacillus sp. Its description in RNAcentral is "partial 16S ribosomal RNA". It matches the Rfam family "Bacterial small subunit ribosomal RNA", at positions 338 to 523 of the family's 1533-position model. Lineage: Bacteria; Bacillati; Bacillota; Bacilli; Lactobacillales; Lactobacillaceae. The record is from RNAcentral.
CCUACGGGAGGCAGCAGUAGGGAAUCUUCCACAAUGGACGAAAGUCUGAUGGAGCAACGCCGCGUGAGUGAAGAAGGGUUUCGGCUCGUAAAACUCUGUUGUUAAAGAAGAACAUAUCUGAGAGUAACUGUUCAGGUAUUGACGGUAUUUAACCAGAAAGCCACGGCUAACUACGUGCCAGCAGCCGCGGUAA